GUGGGGAAUAUUGGACAAUGGGCGAAAGCCUGAUCCAGCCAUGCCGCGUGUGUGAAGAAGGUCUUCGGAUUGUAAAGCACUUUAAGUUGGGAGGAAGGGUAGUAACCUAAUACGUUGCUACUUUGACGUUACCGACAGAAUAAGCACCGGCUAACUUCGUGCCAGCAUCCGCGGUAAUACGAAGGGUGCAAGCGUUAAUCGGAAUUACUGGGCGUAAAGCGCGCGUAGGUGGUUCAGUAAGUUGGAAGUGAAAUCCCCGGGCUCAACCUGGGAACUGCUUUCAAAACUGCUGAGCUAGAGUACGGUAGAGUGUGGUGGAAUUUCCUGUGUAGCGGUGAAAUGCGUAGAUAUAGGAAGGAACACCAGUGGCGAAGGCGACCACCUGGACUGAUACUGACACUGAGGUGCGAAAGCGUGGGGAGCAAACAGGAUUAGAUACCCGUGUAGUCC
Molecule: ribosomal RNA, 450 nt
Filed under: uncultured bacterium
Lineage: Bacteria
Description: partial 16S ribosomal RNA
Rfam family: Bacterial small subunit ribosomal RNA
Source: RNAcentral